UACGUAGGGGACGAGCGUUGUCCGGAAUUACUGGGCGUAAAGGGCGCGCAGGCGGUAUAUCAAGUCAGCUGUCAAAGACUGGGGCUCAACCCUGGUAUGCGGUUGAAACUGAUAUGCUGGAGUGCUGUAGAGGCAAGUGGAAUUCCCAGUGUAGCGGUGAAAUGCGUAGAUAUUGGGAAGAACACCGGUGGCGAAGGCGACUUGCUGGGCAGCAACUGACGCUGAGGCGCGAAAGCCAGGGGAGCAAACGGGAUUA
Molecule: ribosomal RNA, 256 nt
Filed under: uncultured prokaryote
Description: partial 16S ribosomal RNA
Rfam family: Bacterial small subunit ribosomal RNA
Source: RNAcentral